RNAcentral lists this ribosomal RNA (2904 nucleotides) under Escherichia coli. Its description in RNAcentral is "23S ribosomal RNA". It matches the Rfam family "Bacterial large subunit ribosomal RNA". The record is from RNAcentral. Lineage: Bacteria; Pseudomonadati; Pseudomonadota; Gammaproteobacteria; Enterobacterales; Enterobacteriaceae.
GGUUAAGCGACUAAGCGUACACGGUGGAUGCCCUGGCAGUCAGAGGCGAUGAAGGACGUGCUAAUCUGCGAUAAGCGUCGGUAAGGUGAUAUGAACCGUUAUAACCGGCGAUUUCCGAAUGGGGAAACCCAGUGUGUUUCGACACACUAUCAUUAACUGAAUCCAUAGGUUAAUGAGGCGAACCGGGGGAACUGAAACAUCUAAGUACCCCGAGGAAAAGAAAUCAACCGAGAUUCCCCCAGUAGCGGCGAGCGAACGGGGAGCAGCCCAGAGCCUGAAUCAGUGUGUGUGUUAGUGGAAGCGUCUGGAAAGGCGCGCGAUACAGGGUGACAGCCCCGUACACAAAAAUGCACAUGCUGUGAGCUCGAUGAGUAGGGCGGGACACGUGGUAUCCUGUCUGAAUAUGGGGGGACCAUCCUCCAAGGCUAAAUACUCCUGACUGACCGAUAGUGAACCAGUACCGUGAGGGAAAGGCGAAAAGAACCCCGGCGAGGGGAGUGAAAAAGAACCUGAAACCGUGUACGUACAAGCAGUGGGAGCACGCUUAGGCGUGUGACUGCGUACCUUUUGUAUAAUGGGUCAGCGACUUAUAUUCUGUAGCAAGGUUAACCGAAUAGGGGAGCCGAAGGGAAACCGAGUCUUAACUGGGCGUUAAGUUGCAGGGUAUAGACCCGAAACCCGGUGAUCUAGCCAUGGGCAGGUUGAAGGUUGGGUAACACUAACUGGAGGACCGAACCGACUAAUGUUGAAAAAUUAGCGGAUGACUUGUGGCUGGGGGUGAAAGGCCAAUCAAACCGGGAGAUAGCUGGUUCUCCCCGAAAGCUAUUUAGGUAGCGCCUCGUGAAUUCAUCUCCGGGGGUAGAGCACUGUUUCGGCAAGGGGGUCAUCCCGACUUACCAACCCGAUGCAAACUGCGAAUACCGGAGAAUGUUAUCACGGGAGACACACGGCGGGUGCUAACGUCCGUCGUGAAGAGGGAAACAACCCAGACCGCCAGCUAAGGUCCCAAAGUCAUGGUUAAGUGGGAAACGAUGUGGGAAGGCCCAGACAGCCAGGAUGUUGGCUUAGAAGCAGCCAUCAUUUAAAGAAAGCGUAAUAGCUCACUGGUCGAGUCGGCCUGCGCGGAAGAUGUAACGGGGCUAAACCAUGCACCGAAGCUGCGGCAGCGACGCUUAUGCGUUGUUGGGUAGGGGAGCGUUCUGUAAGCCUGCGAAGGUGUGCUGUGAGGCAUGCUGGAGGUAUCAGAAGUGCGAAUGCUGACAUAAGUAACGAUAAAGCGGGUGAAAAGCCCGCUCGCCGGAAGACCAAGGGUUCCUGUCCAACGUUAAUCGGGGCAGGGUGAGUCGACCCCUAAGGCGAGGCCGAAAGGCGUAGUCGAUGGGAAACAGGUUAAUAUUCCUGUACUUGGUGUUACUGCGAAGGGGGGACGGAGAAGGCUAUGUUGGCCGGGCGACGGUUGUCCCGGUUUAAGCGUGUAGGCUGGUUUUCCAGGCAAAUCCGGAAAAUCAAGGCUGAGGCGUGAUGACGAGGCACUACGGUGCUGAAGCAACAAAUGCCCUGCUUCCAGGAAAAGCCUCUAAGCAUCAGGUAACAUCAAAUCGUACCCCAAACCGACACAGGUGGUCAGGUAGAGAAUACCAAGGCGCUUGAGAGAACUCGGGUGAAGGAACUAGGCAAAAUGGUGCCGUAACUUCGGGAGAAGGCACGCUGAUAUGUAGGUGAAGUCCCUCGCGGAUGGAGCUGAAAUCAGUCGAAGAUACCAGCUGGCUGCAACUGUUUAUUAAAAACACAGCACUGUGCAAACACGAAAGUGGACGUAUACGGUGUGACGCCUGCCCGGUGCCGGAAGGUUAAUUGAUGGGGUCAGCGCAAGCGAAGCUCUUGAUCGAAGCCCCGGUAAACGGCGGCCGUAACUAUAACGGUCCUAAGGUAGCGAAAUUCCUUGUCGGGUAAGUUCCGACCUGCACGAAUGGCGUAAUGAUGGCCAGGCUGUCUCCACCCGAGACUCAGUGAAAUUGAACUCGCUGUGAAGAUGCAGUGUACCCGCGGCAAGACGGAAAGACCCCGUGAACCUUUACUAUAGCUUGACACUGAACAUUGAGCCUUGAUGUGUAGGAUAGGUGGGAGGCUUUGAAGUGUGGACGCCAGUCUGCAUGGAGCCGACCUUGAAAUACCACCCUUUAAUGUUUGAUGUUCUAACGUUGACCCGUGAUCCGGGUUGCGGACAGUGUCUGGUGGGUAGUUUGACUGGGGCGGUCUCCUCCUAAAGAGUAACGGAGGAGCACGAAGGUUGGCUAAUCCUGGUCGGACAUCAGGAGGUUAGUGCAAUGGCAUAAGCCAGCUUGACUGCGAGCGUGACGGCGCGAGCAGGUGCGAAAGCAGGUCAUAGUGAUCCGGUGGUUCUGAAUGGAAGGGCCAUCGCUCAACGGAUAAAAGGUACUCCGGGGAUAACAGGCUGAUACCGCCCAAGAGUUCAUAUCGACGGCGGUGUUUGGCACCUCGAUGUCGGCUCAUCACAUCCUGGGGCUGAAGUAGGUCCCAAGGGUAUGGCUGUUCGCCAUUUAAAGUGGUACGCGAGCUGGGUUUAGAACGUCGUGAGACAGUUCGGUCCCUAUCUGCCGUGGGCGCUGGAGAACUGAGGGGGGCUGCUCCUAGUACGAGAGGACCGGAGUGGACGCAUCACUGGUGUUCGGGUUGUCAUGCCAAUGGCACUGCCCGGUAGCUAAAUGCGGAAGAGAUAAGUGCUGAAAGCAUCUAAGCACGAAACUUGCCCCGAGAUGAGUUCUCCCUGACCCUUUAAGGGUCCUGAAGGAACGUUGAAGACGACGACGUUGAUAGGCCGGGUGUGUAAGCGCAGCGAUGCGUUGAGCUAACCGGUACUAAUGAACCGUGAGGCUUAACCUU